Molecule: ribosomal RNA, 464 nt
Filed under: uncultured bacterium
Lineage: Bacteria
Description: bacterial SSU rRNA
Rfam family: Bacterial small subunit ribosomal RNA
Source: RNAcentral
GGCCUAACACAUGCAAGUCGAGGGGUAACAGAGAGAAGCUUGCUUUUCUGCUGACGACCGGCGCACGGGUGCGUAACGCGUAUACAAUCUGCCUUAUACAGAGGGAUAGCCUUUAGAAAUGAAGAUUAAUACCUUAUAGUCUAUUUUUAUAGCAUUAUAUAAAUAGUAAAGCUUCGGUGGUAUAAGAUGAGUAUGCGUCCUAUUAGUUAGUUGGUAAGGUAACGGCUUACCAAGACAACGAUAGGUAGGGGCCCUGAGAGGGGGAUCCCCCACACUGGUACUGAGACACGGACCAGACUCCUACGGGAGGCAGCAGUGAGGAAUAUUGGACAAUGGAGGCAACUCUGAUCCAGCCAUGCCGCGUGCAGGAUGACGGCCCUAUGGGUUGUAAACUGCUUUUAUAUAGGAAGAAACCUUUUCACGUGUGAGAAGCUGACGGUACUAUAAGAAUAAGGACCGGCUAA